This 8756-nucleotide long non-coding RNA is filed under the name Sus scrofa (pig). RNAcentral's name for it is "lncRNA (ENSSSCG00055030310.1)". The record is from RNAcentral. Lineage: Eukaryota; Metazoa; Chordata; Mammalia; Artiodactyla; Suidae.
AGGCUCAGAGGAGUCAGCGUCUAUGAAGCAAUAAUAAUCCUUCAUAUACUUGAAGACAAGUAUUACAUUUCCCUCCAGCAGCCUCUUCUCAUUGCGCACUGCCUAAGUGUUCUGUAUUACCUAUCCUCAAGUCCCUUGAGCUGCUUAAUGCCUCGCUAUUUACACACUUCUCCCAUUCACUGUGAGUUAUAUACAGCAUGACAUGGCCUUUGGCAUCGAAAGGAGAUGGUUUUAAAAGCACGCUAGCUCAACACAGAAGAGAAACUAAAAGAAGCAGAACUGACUACAUACCUCUCCUCUCGGCUGGCUGGGCCUUCCAGUGCAAAUCAGAAUUGCCCCGUGGGUAAAAGGGUAUUCUCUCGAUGUGUAAAUUGAUCUUCCCAACAAAUGAGUUUGCUUGUUUACUACCUCGGAAAGGGUCUUUUCAUGAAAAACAAAAAAUGGUGAGCAGAAAUUUAUGAGAAGCUGUGAUUCCAGAUGGUCUUUGAGAUUUAUUGACUUUCUCCUUGGCUCUUUAAUUGCAGGUGUAUUACAGAUCUUUUACUUGCCCCAAGGUCAGUCAGAUACCAGUUUCCCUGACUUGGUCCAUGUUCACAGGGCGCAGGAAAAGCUCCCCAUGGAGUAAAUGGCUGAGGGGAAAGGCCAACAACUCCUUCCCUCCCUGAUUCCAGGCAGGAUGCUGGGAUACUGACUGUGGCUAGUGGACUCUUCACCUAUGGCUGCCAGCUCCAACCCUUUGCUACAUAUAUCUAAGGGACAGGUAUGAAAGCAUUAGAGCUGUUCUGUUUCUCUGGAGAGAGUUUACGUAUUCUCCAUCAGGUUCCCAGGAUAGGGGUCCAAUCAGAGCUGUAGCCGCAGGCCUACACCACAGCCACAGCAACUCGGGAUCUGAGCCACAUCUGCGACCUACACCACAGCUCAUGGCAACGCCAGAUCCUUAACCCACUGAGCAAGGCCAGGGAUCGAACCUGAAACCUCAUGGAUGCUAGUCGGGUUUGUUAACCGCUGAGCCACGAUGGAAACUCCAGGUUCUGAAAUUUCAUAUCAAGAUUGUGGACAUGGGUGCUUUUUAGAGUUUGGGAAAAUUAUCCCUUAAUUCAAUAAACAAAAUCAUUGUGCAGCUAUUCUAUGCCAUGAGAAUGAAUGUAUCCAUGACAAGCCAUUUGACAUAGCCUUUUCCCUUCUUAGAAUUUACAGUCUGAGAGGGGUGGGGGUGCAGUUGGAAAGAGAGGUGUGAAAGUUUGCCUAAGAGGCAAGGCAGUGUCCCACUUAAGAGCCUAUGUGAGAUUCCUCAGUUUCAAAUCACAGCUCUACCACUUACUACUGUAUCUUCUUGGUUAAGUUAAUUAAACUCUUCAACCUCAGUUUCCUUACCUGAAAAAUGGAAUGAUAGUGAUACAACUGAAUGCCUCGGGUUGUUGAGUAAAUGAGGUAACUUCCUGGCACCUAGCAGAGGCUCAGUAAAUUCUAGCUGUCAUUAUUAGUGUGAGAAGUGACAUACCCAAGUCAGAGUCAUGGUUUUUCCAGCUCAAGAUUCUGUCUCCGGAGGGUGUCAGGCAUAUUUUGUGGAAGAGCCUUAGCUUUUCUCUUUAAAUAUUUAUUUAAAAUGGUUAGUGACGUAUACUAUGUUUUCCAGUUUCCCUAAAUAGUUUGUUUUGGAGAUGCCAUUUGGAAUAGAUUUAGAUUUCUCUGCAGCAGAGUAAAUAGUAUCCUUCUUCACAACAAGAUCAAUUAAUAGCUGUUCCCUUCCUGGGAUUCUAGGAAUCUUAAUCUAGAAUGUUUCUAGGGUGAGUGUUUAUUUGACUCCUUACUUCUAGUAUAGAGGCUGGGUUUCCAUUUAGUCGCCUGGGGAGUGUAAGGUGUGGGCUGUCUGGGGAAAUGAGAAAUUUAGACUUCAGGAGAAAUUUCAGUAGACAUACUUAUAUUGAGAAUUUGGAAUAAUUAGAACUGAAUAGCCCAAAUUUACCAAUUCAACUGAACUGUAAACUCAGACUGAUAAAUAACUCUUAAGUGAAUCUGGUCCCAGAGUCACAAAGAGUUAGCCUUUCCCUGCUGAGGAGACUGAAAGGUAUGCUUUUGAAAGCCAGGUCCCUAGCUGGAGUUGCCCGGGAGUCCCUUCACUUGCUGCAGGUGACACGAAUUUGCCCUCUUCCCAACCCUGACCCAGAGCAUGUUGAAAAUUUUAAGCCUUGAUGUGGUUCUUAGCUUGGAGUCUCUUUUUUGCUCAGUACCUCCUCAAGUCAGACUUUCCAUAAGAAACAUGAAAGCAAGUUUCUGUGAUAAUAAUUCUUCCUCAAAAGCACCAUGUUUCUACUAAGAAGUGACGGAAUCAGAAGGAGAAUAGUCUUAUUCUUGGAGGAUGAUGUUUGGACCAGGACAGAUAGAUAGCUCCUAACUCAAAACAAAGAAUGUAGUCAAAACUUUUUUGUUAGUUUCUUUAUUCCCCAUCAUUUAAACUGUCACCUCCUUCCUCCCCUUGAAGGAAAACAUUAAGAAAGGUAGGCUCAAACUUGUGUUGGGCUUGUUUCACUUUAUAUCGUUUUUAACUGUGUUUUUGCUUCCUGAGUCAUGGCAGGUUCAUUAACAUGGAAUCAUUAACAUCAUUGUUUUAAAAGUUCUCUUUUGUCAAAAAUGUGAGUUUUUCCAGCACGUUAAUAACUCUCAUCCAUGUGAAGCCCAACUCCUUGAAUUUCUCACCGUGCAACAGGCUUCUUUUCAGGUAGCUCUGAAGGAUUUGAACAGAAAGUUUAAUUACAUGUCUUUUUCUUUCUUUCUUUCUUUUUCCCAGAAAAUGUACUUAAGGCAAAAGUUUGCUUCAGCAGCUAAUAACUUACCAGGGGUUUGUUGAAUACACAGUAUAAUCUCUUAGAGUCAUGGUAACCGGGGUGCAAAGAAGAGGCUUAAUUGAAUACAAUGUGUACUGUACUGUGUCUUUGGAAUGACAAUCGCCAUACUUCAGUGUACACUGCUCAUUUCUGGAAGUCUCUGGAGUCUAAAUUAUGUAAAACUGAAAACAUUCUCUGGCUAAGCAGCUGAGAAACUAAUUUUUUGAUGUUGCUGUUGUCCACCUAAGUGGGCCAAUACGUGCUAAACUGCUAAGGCUUGCACAUUUAAUGGCCACACUGCACCAUGUAAUUUCAGACAGCAAAAAGUAUGUGCUGCUGGUAUGAUCCCCUUUGGUUGUCUCAGAGAAGUGUGGAAAAAGAGCAAAGUACAGACACCUGCGUAAACACGAAAGAGCAGCGGUCCUCCUGACAGAAACCCCGGGCAGAGGCUAUAGUUCAGAAAAGUUUGCACCCAAGUCCUGUAGCCAUUGCCCCAAAGAGAGCUUCCUUUUCUCACUUAUAUUCUUUGCAUGUGGAUCUGUUUGCAGGCUUAGUCCCCGGGAGAGAGAUUCUGAGCUGUCUUUGUGCUAAAUUAAACAUUAGUUUUCUCCUUGGGAACCUGAUCUUCCAUAGACCAGGCAACUAUAUCUUUCUGAGAGAGAUCUGAGCUCCCUCAGGAAGAGACCAGCUCGGGAGCCUCCUUACCUCUGCUUUUUGCUUCCCUGGCAUGGGUGUGUGUUGCAUGGGAAUUGCCUUUUCUAACCAGGUCCCUUAAAGCAAGGACUUGUACUCUCGUACUCAGUAGAGUGUGGGAGGACCCAGGCCAGCUUGGCUUGGCAUAUAAUACGUGGAAAUGGUCAGAGCAGCACCCAGAUGAUAGAGGAUUUCAGCUGCCCACGGGAAUGAGUUUCCUUGGCUCACGGCAUCCCAAAUUUUGAACCCAAGGCAAUGAAAGGGAGUAGUAGGCAAAAUAGCCAUCUCAUUUAGCCCUCUCACCUCUCCAUCCUGCCCAUCCCCAAGAGAGCUAGUUGGUAUUGAUCUAAAAAUAGACAUUAUUCUAUCAAUUUGUACAUCUUAUGAGCCCUUAGGGAGAAAACAGACCAAACCCCUUUCUCAUAGGUGAAGAAAUAUUAAAGCCCAUUUAAAAGAAAAUAUUUUGAGUUCCCAUAGCAGUAGAGGUAGAACUAGAACCCAAGUUUUCUGACACCAAUCCCAGGUUAUAAAACGUAGUCUUUUCAAUUAAUCUAUGAAAAGAACAGUUAAGGGCAAUGCAGGACUUAUUUUAAAGUUUUUUUUUUUUAAAAGAAAAAUACGAGAGUAUAGUUGGUUUACAAUGUGUCAAUUUCUGCUGUACAGCAAAUCGACUCAGUCAUACAUAUAUGUUCUAUUUUAAAUCUUGAUCGCAGAAGGAACGUGGAGUUUAGAGCCUAGGGUAAGUUGUUUUUUAAAUGAUCACCAUGAUUCUGUCAAGCCCACUUGCCCCUUUGCAAUGUGACUUUACUACUCCUCGAAUUGAAAAAUGGAUGCUCUUUCUCCCCUUGAACCUUGAAGAGUCCUGUGACUUGUUUUAACCAAGAGUCUGUGACAGAAAUGGUGUUGUGCUACUUCUGAGGAUGGGCUUUAAGAAGCUCUCUUAGACUUAAAAUCUGUUAAGGGUAAGUCUUAGGUGUUCUUUCCAUUAAACAAGCAAACAAGUAAGUAAGUAAAUAAAAACAAAGAGGGCAGGGCAGGAGAAAACUUGGUGACGUGAUGGAUAUGUUUUUGGCCUUGACAGUGGUGAUGGUUUCCUGGGUAUGUAUUUAUCCCCAGACUCAUUGAGUUGUGUACAUUAAAUACGUAGAGCUCUUUUAUGUCAAUCAUAUCUUAAUAAAAUGGUUUUUUAAAAAGUCUUCUUGGGACACUGAGACCAACAUAUAUUGAAGCUGGUCUAGCCAGCUAUAGGAUGAGUGACAGGCUGAGAACCAAGGUGCUCCUGCCUUCAAUCAGCACCAACUGCCAACACGAGAGUGAGGCCACCUUGGACCAACCAGUCUUCCAACUCAGUGCAGCCAAACGAGUGAGUGAGCCCACAUGAAAUCAGCAGAGGAACUGCCUAGUCAACCCAGAGGACCAUGGGAAAUAUUGCAGAAUUAUUUUAAGCGCCGAAGUUUUGGGGUGGUUUGUAACUUAGCAGAGGUUAACUGAAACAGAGCCAGAAAACCUUAGCACGGAAGACAGUCCUGCCUCUUCAGGUGUGUUACCCCAAGGACUGGUUACAUAACAUCUUUGAAGACAUUUUAUGCUUAUGUACUAUAUGAGAUAAUACAUCAAAGGACCUAGGGUGUUGUCUGGCACGUGGUACCCUUAACAGACAUUAGCGUCCUUGCUUUGUCUUUUGUUCCUUCUCUCUGUAUUAUAAUUCACUUCAUGGGCAUCAACAUUCUUGUAGGUUUCGCUAGCUCACUCUUCCUCUGAACAGCAAUUUAUUUUGUCGCUCCUGGUUGAUGGUCUGGUGGUGUCCUUCCUCCUAACUCCCGAAUUUCCAGCAUUCUCGUUCUGCUCCAGGGAACACAUCUGCCUUCGAUAGUCUACCCUUAAAAUAGAAAAGGGUUAACCUCAUAAAGAUGUCACUCCCCUUGUACUGCUAUGCUGCCCUUGGGAGGGUCAAACAGCUAGCAAAUAUAUAUGGGCAAUGUAAUUGCCUUUGAUCUCCUAGGUCACAGAAGACUCUCCUAGCCAGUGUGGCAUCCAGGUGGGACAUAAGCAGAUUCUGUCUUGAAGAGCAGAGUUUCUCCGUCUGUUGAUCGCUAUUUUUGUUUUUGCUAGCAAAUGACUCUAAGGGCCUCAUUUUUUCCCAUCUUAGGCUUUGCAACAAAUAAUAAGCAAAGACAGUGAUAUAAUGAUAACUAUAUUAUACUUCUUAUCUUCUUAGUGAUAAUGGAAAGUAGUGGCUGCAGAAUUAGGUGUUGAAGGUCCCAGUGCUCCCACUGCUACCAGCUAGUAGCAAUUUAGUCAAGUCCUUUUACUUCCCUGGUAGUUACUUUCCGUCUUGGAAGGAGAGUGAGGGAGGGGCGCUUGGUCUGUGGUUGGCUCACCUCUGAAGUCCCGUUUGCACUAAUACACUUGGAGUAAGUUCCCUGAUAUGUUACUUUUGUUUUUCAACCUUCAAUAUAUAUUCAAUAUUCAAUAUAUAUUGAAGGUUGAAAAUAUAUCUGUUAGGAAGAGUAGAAAGAAGGAGAGAUGACAAGGGUGAGAAUGUUUUAUUUUGUUUUUUUGAAGGAAGCACUAGUAAGAGGGUCUGAAGUAAUCUCAGGAAAAGGGCUGUGGCAGAGGGCAAAUGCACAGCCUUAUUAACUGCUUAGCAUCCUUCCUAGAGGUAAUGAACAAAAUCUCUCCAUAUCUGACCCUUUUGGAUGGGGUUUAAGGGUUCCAGUAUGAGAAACACUGUUGUAGAGUUUGAUUUAUUGUGUUUACUUUGGGGGGGAAGCACUGAUUUUUUUUUUCCCCCUAGGUCCUCCCAACUACAUUUGGCAGCAUAUCUGUGGGUAAAGAAGUUUUCCAAUCUAAUCCCCCUGUGAAAUAAUUACAUGAAAUAUAAAAUGUAAAACGAAAAGGAAAAUAUUCUCACAGAGCCUUCCUUCCUCUGGAAUUGACUGGUGUUUUAGCUAUAUCCAUCGUGCUCUCCAUCUGUUUGUCUCUCGUUUGUAUGUAUAUAAAACAAUUGAAACAUGCAAAUGAAGGGAUGGGAUUUUAUAUUGUCACCACUUCAUUUUUUAAACAUGUUUCUGCUUUAAAGGGGAACUGCAAAAGAGAGUCACUGAGAAAUUGGCCUGGAGGAGGAGUAUUCAACCCACAGCCUCUCCUCUGCCCCUUAUCACUAAAACUCUAAACAGAGAGUAUAAUCACCUAUUUCCCAAGGGCAGCCCUAAGCCCUUAAAACUCAGAUCUGUUUAAGGAUUUACUAGAACUGGAAAAGAGAAAUGCACAGGAUCUGCUCCAAACCAACAAAGGAAAAUUUACCCGACCAAAUAUUCAAUCUAGAGAAUUUCUUUGAUAGCACACUCUCCUCCCUCCCUAUCUCUUGAUUUUGUUAGGACACAGCUCUUCAAAUUGCAUCUUCACGACUCCUAGAAUCUUGGGAGUCUGUGGAUCUGAGGCUCCAGGCCAGCCCAGGGCAUUUUCUUUCACAAAACAAGAUAUAACUAGCAGGAAGCCCAAAAGGGCAUUUGGUGGUAGUUGUCGUUUAUUUUGUUUCAAAGGGUAGACACACUCAGCUUCAUUGUCUGUUGGCUCAGAGCCAGAAGGAUGGUGGCAUUUUUCCUAGUAACUUAUGAAGUCUGUAGCUUUUCUUCUGAGAUUUUUUUUUUUUUUUUUUAGGUGGAAAUGCUUGAUGUUAUGCUAUGAACCAUGGCUUUUCUUUUUAAAAACACUAUGAUAAAGGAAGUCUAGUUGCAUUUCUUUUCCAAUAGAUUGGGUUUUACUUUUGCUUAGAAAAUUACAUGCACACCCAUGCACACAAUUUACCAUGGUUAUUUUUUAGUAUAUAUAGUGUACUAUUAUUAGUAUAUAGAGAUACAAAUUGAUUAUAUGGGUGAUUUACAGAGAAAAUAGAAGUAAGGUGAUACAUUAAAGAGGAUGAUGGGGAAGACAGUUUUUAAGGAGAUUGCUCAGGAAGACAGGAGUCUGCUAAACUGCAGAGAGUAGGAAAGAGAAUGUUGUAUCCCACUGGUCAGUGUGGAGGGACAGGAGACCUCUAUUCUGGUCCACGCUUCACCGGUAACUAAAAGGGUGGCCUUGGGGCCAGUCAGUCCUCCUUUGCUUUUUGGAGUUCCCAUCAGCAACCCUAAAGGUUUGGAUUGCUCAGCAUUUUGCUUGGCUGGAUUAUGCUUGACACCCAGUAUUUGGCUCCGGUAUCAUCUCCUUGGAGACCCCUCCCUGGCUCCCCUAACUCUUGUUGACACACGUGCUUGAUGUCCCUCUCUCCUCUUUCCCUGUCACCUUAUCCCUUGGUAGAGGUUUUAUUGUCUUCAUAACUUCCAUCACCGUCUGCGUUUAUGUUGAUUCCUCAUUCAUUUGUGCCUUUCCUAUCUUUCCCCACUGGAACAUAAGCCCCAUGAGACCAGAGACCUUGUCAGUCUUGUUCACCACGCGCAUCCCCAGCCCCUAGCAGUUCCUGGAACAUUUUGGACCCACAAUGAAUAUUCGUUGAGUGAAUGACUAGAUCAGUGGCUUUUAAACUAGAGAUGUCUCACAAGUUUUUCAGGGAUGGAUGUAAGAAAGAGAGACAGAGAUACAUGUGGUGGGCCUCCAAGUUCCCCACCUCCUGUUUAAUUAUGUGUAUGUUAUGUAUAUGUGUUAUAUCUGUGUCGAUAUAUAUCAAGAGGUCUUUUUUGGCUGCAUGUGAGGCAUACAGAAGUUGCCAGGUCAGGAAUCAAACCCACAUCACAGCAGCAACUGGAGCCACGGCAGUGGCAAUGCCGGAUGCUGAACCUACUGACCCACACGGGAACUCACUAUAUAUCACUAAGUUUCUAAUGACACUAAAAUAUAUAACGUUAUAUAUAAAAACAGUAGUUUUUAAUCACACUAAGGCAUAUAUGUAUGUAUUGUGGAUAUCUAUAGAUAUGGAUAUGGGAUAUGGAUAUGCCUUAGUGUGAUUAAAAACAUGACUCCAUGUGCUACAACCAUUUGAAACAUACAGGGGCAUGAUGACCUUUUAAGAUUGUUCCCAGAUUGGAAUUUCUGUCGUGGCUUAGCGAAAACAAUCUGACUAGCAUCCAUGAGGAUGCAGGUGCGAUUCGUGGCCCCGCUCAGUGGGUUAAGGAUCUGGCAUUGCCAUGAGCUGUGGUGUAGGUCGCAGAUGCAGCUUGGGUCUGGCGUUGCUGUGACUGUGGUGUAGGCCGGCAGCUACAGCUCCGAUUUGACCCCUAGCUUGGGAACUUCCAUAUGCCU